UACGGAGGAUGCGAGCGUUAUCCGGAUUUAUUGGGUUUAAAGGGUGCGCAGGCGGGCUUUUAAGUCAGCGGUGAAAUCUCGGGGCUUAACUCCGAAACUGCCGUUGAAACUGGGAGUCUUGAGUAUGGAUGAAGUAGGCGGAAUUCGUUGUGUAGCGGUGACAUGCUUAGAUAUAACGAGGAACUCCGAUUGCGUAGGCAGCUUACUAAGCCAUAACUGACGCUCAAGCACGAAAGCGUGGGGAUCAAACAGGAUUAGAUACCCUGGUAGUCCACGCCGUAAACGAUGAUUACUAGUUGUAUGCGAUAUACCGUAUGUGACUAAGCGAAAGCGAUAAGUAAUCCACCUGGGGAGUACGCCGGCAACGGUGAAACUCAAAGGAAUUGACGGGGGCCCGCACAAGCGGAGGAACAUGUGGUUUAAUUCGAUGAUACGCGAGGAACCUUACCCGGGCUUGAAAUGUACAUGAAUUACGUUGAAAGAUGUAAGCCAGCAAUGGCAUGUAUGUAGGUGCUGCAUGGUUGUCGUCAGCUCGUGCCGUGAGGUGUCGGCUUAAGUGCCAUAACGAGCGCAACCCACAUUGUUAGUUACUAACAGGUCAGGCUGAGGACUCUAACAAGACUGCCGUCGUAAGAUGCGAGGAAGGUGUGGAUGACGUCAAAUCAGCACGGCCCUUACGUCCGGGGCGACACACGUGUUACAAUGGGUGGUACAAAGGGCAGCUACUUGGUGACAAGAUGCUAAUCUCCAAAGCCACUCCCAGUUCGGAUCGGAGUCUGCAACUCGACUCCGUGAAGCUGGAUUCGCUAGUAAUCGCGCAUCAGCCAUGGCGCGGUGAAUACGUUCCCGGGCCUU
RNAcentral lists this ribosomal RNA (855 nucleotides) under uncultured Cytophagales bacterium. RNAcentral's name for it is "bacterial SSU rRNA". It matches the Rfam family "Bacterial small subunit ribosomal RNA", at positions 524 to 1382 of the family's 1533-position model. Lineage: Bacteria; Pseudomonadati; Bacteroidota; Sphingobacteriia; Sphingobacteriales. The record is from RNAcentral.